Molecule: ribosomal RNA, 657 nt
Filed under: Trichoderma citrinoviride
Lineage: Eukaryota; Fungi; Ascomycota; Sordariomycetes; Hypocreales; Hypocreaceae
Description: eukaryotic LSU rRNA
Rfam family: 5.8S ribosomal RNA (bases 275-428)
Source: RNAcentral
GGAUGUAAAAGUCGUAACAAGGUCUCCGUUGGUGAACCAGCGGAGGGAUCAUUACCGAGUUUACAACUCCCAAACCCAAUGUGAACGUUACCAAUCUGUUGCCUCGGCGGGAUUCUCUGCCCCGGGCGCGUCGCAGCCCCGGAUCCCAUGGCGCCCGCCGGAGGACCAACUCAAACUCUUUUUUCUCUCCGUCGCGGCCUACGUCGCGGCUCUGUUUUAUUUUUGCUCUGAGCCUUUCUCGGCGACCCUAGCGGGCGUCUCGAAAAUGAAUCAAAACUUUCAACAACGGAUCUCUUGGUUCUGGCAUCGAUGAAGAACGCAGCGAAAUGCGAUAAGUAAUGUGAAUUGCAGAAUUCAGUGAAUCAUCGAAUCUUUGAACGCACAUUGCGCCCGCCAGUAUUCUGGCGGGCAUGCCUGUCCGAGCGUCAUUUCAACCCUCGAACCCCUCCGGGGGGUCGGCGUUGGGGAUCGGCCCCUCACCGGGCCGCCCCCGAAAUACAGUGGCGGUCUCGCCGCAGCCUCUCCUGCGCAGUAGUUUGCACACUCGCACCGGGAGCGCGGCGCGGCCACAGCCGUAAAACACCCCAAACUCUGAAAUGUUGACCUCGGAUCAGGUAGGAAUACCCGCUGAACUUAAGCAUAUCAAUAAGCGGAGGA